Molecule: unclassified non-coding RNA, 1930 nt
Filed under: Amphibalanus amphitrite
Lineage: Eukaryota; Metazoa; Arthropoda; Thecostraca; Balanomorpha; Balanidae
Description: uncharacterized LOC122369775, transcript variant X1
Source: RNAcentral
GCUAAAACACACUUGAAGUUAUUUGACAACUGCGGUGCAACUGCGUCACGUCCGCCAUGUUUUUUUCGGCGCGCGUCCUUUGGCUUGUGCGGCUUGUGCUGUGUCCGCGUCGUGCGGGUCUCUGAUGCGGUCAACGAUGAAGGCGCUAGUAAACCAUCGAAGUGCUGCGCGCGUCUUCGAAUUCGAGUCUGUCCUGGACCUUGUUCAAAAGGUUCGAGCGUUCUUCGGUCUGCAGGGUGGCGAGUGGGAUCUGGAGAUCUAUGAUGACGACUGGUCCUCGUGGGUCCUGCUGAAUGAGGAAGAUGCGAUAACUGGUGUUCGGCCUCGCAUCAGGACCGUCAUGCGUGGCGAUCUGGUUGUUCUUGAAAGCACUGGGACGACAUCCACUUCGUCAGUGGUGGUUUCGCAGCUGGAUGCACCGGAGCCUCCAACGUCGCCCGAACUCCGUCGAUCAGGGGAAGACGCAGAGAUCCGGCCGAAGUCGGGAAGCGACGCUCUGGCCGAAUCUCAACAAACCGCAGGAGUGUCUCGGAUGGAUACUAUGGAAGUCCUGGAUGCCAUGGAAGUGAUCCGGUUUGACGACAGCCAGCUGAGACCUGGACUCCUCGAAAAGCUUCGAAGCAAAAAGCCCGGCUCACCUCUGACCAGGACGGAGUGGAGCGAAGUGACGACAGUCAUCGUGACGUUCGAGAAAGCUUGUAACAGUCGCAGGUCAAAGCAAAAAUACAAUGGCGCGUAAGGAAUGAGAAGCGACGAGACGACGGAAGUGAUGCCGAACUCCAAGCGUCAUCAAAGAGGUUGUCACGCGGAAAAACAUUCAAGGGAUCGCGAUAUGAAGGAUUCGAAGGCUACAAGGAGUACCUUCCGCCUAUGCCGGAGGAAGACGUUCAGCAUCUGAGAAACCGCCUCUUGAAGCAUCUACACGAGGCUAACCUGACGAGCGAAGGCAAAGCUGAGCGAGAGGCCCUGAUCAACUCGACGUUCGCAGACAGGCGCAGGCAUGUGGUGACGCUCCGCACCAGCAUGCGCAAGCUUUUGGAGCUGUAUCCAAUCUUGCGGAACCCAGACGAAAUCUGGCGUGAGCUGGCCAAACUGGAGGGGGAGACGGAGUCGUCUAAGCUUGGUGACUACAGGCGCCGCCUGAGCGACUUUCUCACCGCCAUCCAACUGAUCACAGAAUGUCAAGACACCGACUGCGUGGAGUCUCUCCUCUACUACCUAGACGCGAACCCCGAGGACAUCUUUGAGGGAUCAGGAAGCGCGCCGCACUACCAGGUCAACGACGACGGGUCCAUCGGCCUUUUCGUCGAGGGGGUCUGCUUGACAAGGUCGGUGGACCGGAGCAGCAAGGCUGAUCUCCUGCUUCUGUGGGCAGCGAUUUUCCCAGUGUUCAACCAGAAGUGCCCCGUGUCUAAGGCUAAGAACGCUCUGAUAUUUAUCACGGUGAACAUCUUUGAAAAGGGGGGCAACCAAACUCUUUCCAACCGUGUCCUGGGACGAGUCCAGCGUCUCAAGCAGCUCUGUGCGUAGCUCUGUGAGUAGCUUAGAACGGAACCUGAGAACGGAACGCCUUUGCCGCUCGGCUGUUAACACUUUCAAACCGUGUGACACGUCCAGCGUCUCGAGCAGCUCUGUGAGUAGCUGAGCACAGAACUUGAUAACGGAAUGUCUUUUCCGCUCGGCAGUUAACCCUUCGAACCGCGCCCUGGGACAUGUCCAGAGUCUCAAGCAUCUCUGUGCGUAGCUCUGUGCCUAUAGCUUAGAACGUAACUUUAGAACGGAGCGCCUUUGCCGCUCGGCAGUUUCCUACAGAAGAUUACUUUUUUAGGUUCAUUUUUAGUACAAUAAGAGAAAUAUUACUGUUUGCAGUUGUAAGCUUGCUGAAAGGAGCUUGAAUGCAGUUUUGAAUAAACAUGUUUGAUGAGUUUAA